Molecule: ribosomal RNA, 254 nt
Filed under: uncultured bacterium
Lineage: Bacteria
Description: partial 16S ribosomal RNA
Rfam family: Bacterial small subunit ribosomal RNA
Source: RNAcentral
UACGUAGGCAGCAAGCGUUGUUCGGAGUUACUGGGCGUAAAGGGCGCGUAGGCGGCAAAUUAAGUCAGCUGUGAAAUCUCCGAGCUUAACUCGGAACGGUCAGCUGAUACUGAUCUGCUAGAGUGCGGAAGGGGCAAUCGGAAUUCUUGGUGUAGCGGUGAAAUGCGUAGAUAUCAAGAGGAACACCUGAGGUGAAGACGGGUUGCUGGGCCGACACUGACGCUGAGUGCGCGAAAGCCAGGGGAGCAAACGGG